RNAcentral lists this ribosomal RNA (425 nucleotides) under uncultured bacterium. Its description in RNAcentral is "partial 16S ribosomal RNA". It matches the Rfam family "Bacterial small subunit ribosomal RNA", at positions 354 to 796 of the family's 1533-position model. The record is from RNAcentral.
GUGGGGAAUCUUAGACAAUGGGGGAAACCCUGAUCUAGCCAUGCCGCGUGAGCGAUGAAGGCCUUAGGGUUGUAAAGCUCUUUCAGCUGGGAAGAUAAUGACGGUACCAGCAGAAGAAGCCCCGGCUAACUCCGUGCCAGCAGCCGCGGUAAUACGGAGGGGGCUAGCGUUGUUCGGAAUUACUGGGCGUAAAGCGCGCGUAGGCGGACCAGAAAGUUGGAGGUGAAAUCCCAGGGCUCAACCUUGGAACUGCCUUCAAAACUCCUGGUCUGGAGUUCGAGAGAGGUGGGUGGAAUUCCGAGUGUAGAGGUGAAAUUCGUAGAUAUUCGGAGGAACACCAGUGGCGAAGGCGGCUCACUGGCUCGAUACUGACGCUGAGGUGCGAAAGCGUGGGGAGCAAACAGGAUUAGAAACCCCUGUAGUCC